Molecule: transfer RNA, 72 nt
Organism: Mycoplasma sp. (ex Biomphalaria glabrata)
Lineage: Bacteria; Bacillati; Mycoplasmatota; Mollicutes; Mycoplasmatales; Mycoplasmataceae
Rfam family: tRNA
About the family: Transfer RNA (tRNA) molecules are approximately 80 nucleotides in length.
Source: Rfam
GGCGGGGUAGCUCAGCGGCAGAGCAUCCGGUUCAUACCCGGAGUGUCGUGAGUUCAAAUCUCACCUCCGCUA